GUGCACCAGGCGAGAAACCUCCGCAAUGCGGGAAACCGCGACGGGGGACCCGAGUGCCGUGGCAACGCCACGGCUUUUCCGGAGUGUAAAAGCUCCGGGAAUAAGGGCUGGGCAAGGCCGGUGGCAGCCGCCGCGGUAAUACCGGCGGCCCGAGUGGUGGCCGCUAUUAUUGGGCCUAAAGCGUCCGCAGCCGGGCCCGUAAGUCCCUGGCGAAAUCCCACGGCUCAACCGUGGGGCUUGCUGGGGAUACUGCGGGUCUUGGGACCCGGAGAGGCGGGGGGUACCCCUGGGGUAGGGGUGAAAUCCUAUAAUCCCAGGGGGACCGCCAGUGGCGAAGGCGCCCCGCUGGAACGGGUCCGACGGUGAGGGACGAAGGCCAGGGGAGCAAACCGGAUUAGAUACCCGUGUAGU
Molecule: ribosomal RNA, 411 nt
Filed under: uncultured microorganism
Description: bacterial SSU rRNA
Rfam family: Archaeal small subunit ribosomal RNA
Source: RNAcentral